Molecule: ribosomal RNA, 433 nt
Filed under: uncultured bacterium
Lineage: Bacteria
Description: partial 16S ribosomal RNA
Rfam family: Bacterial small subunit ribosomal RNA
Source: RNAcentral
AACGAACGCUGGCGGCAUGCCUAACACAUGCAAGUCGAACGAUCCCGUCCGGGAUAUUUGCGCACGUCUGCUUACCGCGUGGGAACCUGCCCUUAGGUUCGGAAUAACUCACAGAAAUUUGAGCUAAGACCGGAUAAUGUCUUCGCACCAACGAUCUUUGGCGAUUGGCUGGGCGCGCGUUGGAUUAGCUGGUUGGUGGGGUACAGGCAUACCAAGGCGACGAUGCAUAGCUGGUCGGAGAGGAUGAUCAGCCACACUGGGACUGAGACACGGCCGAGACUCCUACGGGAGGGAGGAGUGGAGUAUAUAAGACGAGGGGGGAAAGUCUGAUAAAGCAAUGCCGCGUGAGUGAUGAAGGCCUUAGGGUUGUAAAGCUGUUUUAGCCGGGAUGAUAAUGACAGUACCGGGAGAAUAAGCCCCGGCUAACUACGUG